This 339-nucleotide unclassified non-coding RNA is filed under the name soil metagenome. RNAcentral's name for it is "partial contains 5.8S ribosomal RNA, internal transcribed spacer 2, and large subunit ribosomal RNA". The stretch from base 1 to 120 matches the Rfam family "5.8S ribosomal RNA", at positions 35 to 154 of the family's 154-position model. The record is from RNAcentral.
GAUGAAGAACGUAGCGAAAUGCGAUACGUAGUGUGAAUUGCAGAAUUCAGUGAAUCAUCGAAUCUUUGAACGCACAUUGCACCUCUCGGUAUUCCGGGAGGUAUGCCUGUUCGAGCGUCAUUUGUACCCUCAAGCUCUGCUUGGUGUUGGGUGUUUGUUCCGCCUCUGUGUGUGAACUCGCCUCAAAACAAUUGGCAGCCGGCGUACUUGUUUCGGAGCGCAGCACAUUUUGCGAUCCAGAUCAACGUACAGCGGCAUCCAAGAAGCCUUAUUUAACGCUCUUGACCUCGGAUCAGGCAGGGAUACCCGCUGAACUUAAGCAUAUCAAUAAGCGGAGGA